RNAcentral lists this transfer RNA (73 nucleotides) under Cordylochernes scorpioides. RNAcentral's name for it is "tRNA-Val". The record is from RNAcentral. Lineage: Eukaryota; Metazoa; Arthropoda; Arachnida; Pseudoscorpiones; Chernetidae.
UGUUCCCGCCCGGGAUCGAACCGGGGACCUUGUGCGUGUGAAGCACACGUGAUAACCGCUACACAACGGAAAC